AAAAAAAAAAAAAAAAAAAAAAAAACAUGACUUGAAUUUCUUCCGUAUGAUCAUAGCUUGGAAGACAAUGUACGGGAAAACAGUAUGCGAACCUUCGACUCGUUUCUAUUCUGCCAGAUCGAUCGCGUUACUUGCAGCUUUCCUAACCUUUAAAAAACAACCGACUGAGUCCUCCGUGCUCUUAACCAUCGCGUUUCAAGAUUCCCCCACGUGAAUCUCCCAUCACCCUUGAAGCACGCCGGCCCUCGGGCGCGUUAAUUUUGCCCGGCGAAUUGAUUUCGACCCUGGUCGUGGCUAUAGCCCGUCCGUUCUCGUAGCCCGUUCCUGCAUUAACUCUCUGCCCAGUUAGAUCGAAGUUGCGAACCGCCAAGAGGGAGAGCCCCGGGAUCAGUGAGAGGAACGAGAGUCAGUGAACGAGGGAGGGAAUAGGAGAGGUAUGUACGUGGUUUUAAAGGGAACGUGUUGGAUACACGGAGCUUCGGAGAGGUUAUGGCUGCGUGAGCGAAUGAAAAAAAAAAAAAAAAAAAAAAAGCAGGAAAUGAUACAGAUCGAAAAAAGAAAGAAGAAACGAUGGAUGUUUUACGAUGUCACGGAAUUAGAAAAAUUCAAAGCUGAACGUGAAGAAUACAGAACUUGAGAAUACAAGGACGUAAAAUUGUCGAAGAACAGGUGUAUCUAUAAGACUUUUGCAAUGGACACUGUAGCUAUAUGCGUUUAAAAAUAUAUAUUGAUGAUCCAUCGUAGAAAGAAAAGAAACCCCAACAACAGUCGGGACAAGGAAAGCGACAUUGGUGAAACGCAGCGGACAAAAAGAAAUAGAAAAUGACAGGAAAACGAGAGACGAAAUAAAAGAUAAAUAGAGUGAGAGCGGGUAAAGAGAGAAAGGAUAAAAAAAAAAAAGAUACGAUAGGGCGGAGGAAUGAAAAUGCGAACAGAUAGAGACAAGGUAGGAGAAAGGGGGAGGGGAAAAAACAGAGUGAGAGAGAGAGAGAGAGAAGCAACGACGCGUGAGAGACGAAGAGGAAGAGGGUUUAUGUUCCAAAGCCCACAACCCACCCCCUAUAAAUUCAGCCAAAGGGGGGGGGGCGGAGGGAGAUUUCCAUUAAAGGGAAACUGUCGUUGCGGGAGUGUUUCUGUCGAGCAGCUUAAAGUUGGAUGGAACGUUCCGACCUAACCUAUAGGGUCACGAAGAUAUGAGCAUAUCUCGCUUUAAAGCCAACUCGAAUUCUAUCGCAUCCCGCCCCCGCCAGACCCUCGUGGAUUACUCCCCAUCUUCUGCGCGCGAUUUCUCCUCGUUUCUUUCUUUUUUUCUUCUCGUUGCUCUUGCGACCCUCGUGCAGAGAGAGACGCAUCUCUGACGCUCCACGAAUCGCCCGAACACCGAGGGUGUCGAGAACGCGGACAGGGAUUCCCCGUCGAUUGGAAUGGCAUCGUCGCAAAUUAGAGGCUACUCCCUUUGGCCAAGGCAAUGCUGUAUUAUGGGAUUCUGCGACAUGAUCAAGAGGGGCCCUGGUAACCACGGUAGCGUUACGGAUCGAUCGGUAAUACCGCGAUCGAUAAUGCGUCCCCGCAACGUGUUCCAACCAAAGCUGAUGGUACAUAUUAUGGCCGGCGAGAAUGAACUUUGUUAUGUGUUUGAAGGGCUGAAUUUUCGUUUUAAACCACCCUAAAUCCAAGGAUAUUUCGUUCAAUUGCAUCGUAUCUGCUUGUACUGAUUAAUUACGUUCAAUUUCGAGUACGAACUUUCCAAACGAAUAUAAAAAAAAAAAAAAAACGCUUCAUUGGGAGCUGGGGGAGCUCAUCACUUUUCCUAGCAAUUGUAACCUCUAAAUUCAAAAUAGACGUUCUUGAAUUUCGAUUGAUCGAAGAGAAAGGGGAAAAGAAGAGGGUGAAAUAUUUAAGGUGGUCUAAAGCAAAUUUUAACUUGAGCAUGGUUCAGUAUAAUGAGAAUGCACGGGCGUGGAAAUCGGGUUUCCCUUUUUUGGAAAAUUUUUAUCACACUCCACGUGUACUGUGCGAUGUGUGUACGUGGCGCACGUUGUGACGAUUUUCACACUUGUGCAUUCUCCCUGUUAUGCAAUCAAUGUAAACUUGGUCCCAACGCCUCUUCGCCGAAAUAUGAACGGACAGUAGAAAACUUAUCAUCUACGUAUGUAAUGCGUUAAUUACGUAAUACUGUAAUGAAUAGGUGGG
Long non-coding RNA from Frieseomelitta varia, 2193 nucleotides. RefSeq lists it as uncharacterized. The transcript has 2 exons. Lineage: Eukaryota; Metazoa; Arthropoda; Insecta; Hymenoptera; Apidae. The record is from RefSeq and is a predicted model, not a curated record.